UCUGUAUCUCUCUAUCUCUCUCUCUCUCUUGUAUUUGUAUAUAUAUAUUGUUUUUCAAGGAGCUGUUAAAUUUUCUUCCAAUAUCGAUUAAAUCAUCUAAUAUCCUUUCCUUAGUGUCCUUUUCAUAUUGCUCUCUCUUUCUCUCUCUCUCAUAUAUUUAUAAGAACUCAUUUUCAUAUUGCUCUCUCUCUCUCUCUCUCUCUCUCUUAUAUAUAGGAACUCCUUUUCAUCUCUCUCUCUCUCUCUCUCUCUCUCUCUCUCUCUUAUAUUUGUAUAUAGAUAUUGUUUAUCAA
This 293-nucleotide long non-coding RNA is filed under the name Lathyrus oleraceus (garden pea). RNAcentral's name for it is "Pisum sativum (pea) long non-coding RNA (PSAT_LNC041468)". The record is from RNAcentral. Lineage: Eukaryota; Viridiplantae; Streptophyta; Magnoliopsida; Fabales; Fabaceae.